AUCAGCCCCGGCGCUCUCUCAUCCCUUCUCUCUUCCUUGGUGCUUCUUUUUCCUGCUCGGUGAGUUUGUUUGUUUGUUUGUUUUUGAGACAGAGUCUCACUUUGCUUCCCAGGCUGGAGUGCAGUGGUGCGAUCUCAGCUUACUGCAGCCUCCGCUUCCGGGGUUCAAGCGAUUCUCCUGCCUCAGCCUGCCAAGUAGCUGGGACUACCGGCGCCCACCACCACGCCUGGCUAAUUUUUGAAUUUUUAGUAGAGAGUGGGUUUCACUAUGUUGGCCAGGCUGGUCUGGAACGCCUGACCUCAAGUGAUCCGUCCGCCUCGGCCUUCCAAAGUUCUGGGAUUACAGGCGUGAGCCACCGCGCCCGGCCUGAGUGAGUCUUAAUCCGUGGCCAUCUGCGUUCCUGCAGGCUUCAUCUGGCCCUAUGGUCCCCUGAUGAGAAGAAUAAUGUCUGGGGUGAAGGUGAAGCACCCAGCCCAAGACUCAGCAGCCAGGAAGUGGCCCAGCGCUCUUUAUACCACGGGUGCAGGAAUUCACACAGAAAAGUGGAGGCCAAGGCGUGAGAAUUCCUCAAUGACUGCCCUCUAAAGGAAGAG
This 593-nucleotide long non-coding RNA is filed under the name Homo sapiens (human). RNAcentral describes it as "non-protein coding lnc-EFCAB12-2:5". Lineage: Eukaryota; Metazoa; Chordata; Mammalia; Primates; Hominidae. The record is from RNAcentral.